This is a long non-coding RNA of Bombus impatiens (common eastern bumble bee), 556 nucleotides long. RefSeq lists it as uncharacterized. The record is from RefSeq and is a predicted model, not a curated record. The transcript is spliced from 2 exons. Lineage: Eukaryota; Metazoa; Arthropoda; Insecta; Hymenoptera; Apidae.
AUCCACCUCCAUAAAUAUAUAGUGGUUGUCUGAGAGUGACUCAACCUCCUCUGCCACUUUCCAGCCUGCGACCUGUGUAAACGGGUUGGGGGUCGUUCACCCUGUGGAGCCCCUGUUCACCAACAGGAGCCCGAGUUCCACAGCCAACUAUGACAGCGCCAGCUUGCAUGCAUUCGUCCUGGGGUUCCCCCAUUCCAUGGAGUGAGCAUUGAAAUCCCCCAGGACGAGCACUUAGUGGGGAAGGAAUCGGCUUACGCAAUUGCCAACCCCGUCUAAGAAUUGCUCGAAUGCAGCCCGUCCGCUGUUGGGCGAGAUGUACAUACCCGUCACCACCAUUCCUGCCCACUCGAGCGAUUCGAACGUGAAGAAACAUAUGCGAUUAUGAAAAGAGUUGAAAGAUCUUACGAUCAAAAAAUUAGAAUACAUUCUGGUUGAAAAGAAGAAACCAAAACCAUUAAGACUAUACAAGCCGCGAAUUGAAGCAGUAUGUGACGGUAAGAAACAUAAGACUGUGUCCAGUGAGAAAGCUGAACCAGAAAAAUUGUUGCACAAGGAU